RNAcentral lists this ribosomal RNA (880 nucleotides) under uncultured bacterium. RNAcentral's name for it is "bacterial SSU rRNA". It matches the Rfam family "Bacterial small subunit ribosomal RNA", at positions 13 to 916 of the family's 1533-position model. The record is from RNAcentral.
UUGAUCAUGGCUCAGGAUGAACGCUAGCGGCGUGCCUUAUGCAUGCAAGUCGAACGGUCUUAAGCAAUUAAGAUAGUGGCGAACGGGUGAGUAACGCGUAAGUAACCUACCUCUAAGUGGGGGAUAGCUUCGGGAAACUGAAGGUAAUACCGCAUGUGGUGGGCCGACAUAUGUUGGUUCACUAAAGCCGUAAGGCGCUUGGUGAGGGGCUUGCGUCCGAUUAGCUAGUUGGUGGGGUAAUGGCCUACCAAGGCUUCGAUCGGUAGCUGGUCUGAGAGGAUGAUCAGCCACACUGGGACUGAGACACGGCCCAGACUCCUACGGGAGGCAGCAGCAAGGAAUCUUGGGCAAUGGGCGAAAGCCUGACCCAGCAACGCCGCGUGAGGGAUGAAGGCUCUCGGGUUGUAAACCUCUUUUCAUAGGGAAGAAUAAUGACGGUACCUGUGGAAUAAGCUUCGGCUAACUACGUGCCAGCAGCCGCGGUAAUACGUAGGAAGCAAGCGUUAUCCGGAUUUAUUGGGCGUAAAGUGAGCGUAGGUGGUCUUUCAAGUUGGAUGUGAAAUUUCCCGGCUUAACCGGGACGAGUCAUUCAAUACUGUUGGACUAGAGUACAGCAGGAGAAAACGGAAUUCCCGGUGUAGUGGUAAAAUGCGUAGAUAUCGGGAGGAACACCAGAGGCGAAGGCGGUUUUCUGGGUUGUCACUGACACUGAGGCUCGAAAGCGUGGGGAGCGAACAGAAUUAGAUACUCUGGUAGUCCACGCCUUAAACUAUGGACACUAGGUAUAGGGAGUAUCGACCCUCUCUGUGCCGAAGCUAACGCUUUAAGUGUCCCGCCUGGGGAGUACGGUCGCAAGGCUAAAACUCAAAUGAAUUGACGG